UACGGAGGGGGCUAGCGUUGUCCGGAGUCACUGGGCGUAAAGCGCGCGUAGGCGGCCUGUUAAGUUGGGUGUGAAAGCCCGGGGAUCAACCCCGGAUGUGCAUCCGAGACUGGCAGGCUGGAGUCCGGGAGAGGGCGGCGGAAUUCCCAGUGUAGAGGUGAAAUUCGUAGAUAUUGGGAAGAACACCGGUGGCGAAGGCGGCCGCCUGGCCCGGAACUGACGCUGAGGCGCGAAAGCGUGGGGAGCAAACAGG
This 253-nucleotide ribosomal RNA is filed under the name uncultured bacterium. Its description in RNAcentral is "partial 16S ribosomal RNA". It matches the Rfam family "Bacterial small subunit ribosomal RNA", at positions 524 to 776 of the family's 1533-position model. The record is from RNAcentral.